GGUGUCUCAGUGGUAGAGCGCUUGCCUUGCAUGCAUGGGGCCUGAGGUUUGAUUCCUCAACACCA
Molecule: transfer RNA, 65 nt
Filed under: Dipodomys ordii (Ord's kangaroo rat)
Lineage: Eukaryota; Metazoa; Chordata; Mammalia; Rodentia; Heteromyidae
Rfam family: tRNA
About the family: Transfer RNA (tRNA) molecules are approximately 80 nucleotides in length. Their secondary structure includes four short double-helical elements and three loops (D, anti-codon, and T loops).
Source: Rfam by way of RNAcentral